Niallia nealsonii is the source of this 31-nucleotide non-coding RNA. NCBI's taxonomy places the organism in Bacteria, Bacillati, Bacillota, Bacilli, Caryophanales, Bacillaceae. The record is from Rfam.
CUCUGUUUCGAAAGUUGCAGGGCGGAAGGAG